The sequence is a ribosomal RNA, 495 nucleotides long. It matches the Rfam family "Bacterial large subunit ribosomal RNA", at positions 1 to 477 of the family's 2925-position model.
GGUUAAAUUAUUAAGGGCCCCCCAAGGGUUCCUUGGUAGUAAGAACCCGAUGAAGGACGUGGUAAGCUGCGAUAAGCCUAGAUAAGUUGCAAUCGAACGUAAGAAUCUAGGAUUUCCGAAUGGAGCAAUCUAUUAAGAUGGAGUCUUAAUACGAAAGAGGGAACCGCGUGAACUGAAACAUCUAAGUAACGCGAGGAAAAGAAAGUAAAAACGAUACCCAAAGUAGCGGCGAGCGAACUGGGUCAAGCCUAAACCUUAAAUAUGUCAAGGAUACAGCCGUUGUAUUUAAGGGGUUGAGGGACAGAGUGUGAAGAACUGUAAGAUAUUCAAUAUAGUGUAUUGAUGAAUUAGAAUUGUCUGGAAAGAUNAACCGNAGAAGGUGAAAGUCCUGUAUAAGUAAAUCCUUACACAUAUAACUUUGCUCCCAAGUAACAUGGAACACGAGGAAUUCUGUGUGAAUCUGUGAGGACCAUAUCUCAUAAGGCUAAAUACUCU